Small nucleolar RNA from Arachis stenosperma, 107 nucleotides. Lineage: Eukaryota; Viridiplantae; Streptophyta; Magnoliopsida; Fabales; Fabaceae. The record is from RefSeq and is a predicted model, not a curated record.
AACAAAUCCGGAGGGCACUUCCUUGUCAAGUCUUUGAACCUCUCCCAGGCCUCAAAAAGUGUUUCACCAUCUUACUGUCUGAAGGUUUGCACCUCAGUUCUUAAUCU